AUUGAACGCUGGCGGAAUGCUUUACACAUGCAAGUCGAACGGCAGCACGGGGGCAACCCUGGUGGCGAGUGGCGAACGGGUGAGUAAUACAUCGGAACGUGCCCAGUCGUGGGGGAUAACGUAGCGAAAGCUACGCUAAUACCGCAUACGAACUCUGGUUGAAAGCGGGGGAUCGCAAGACCUCGCGCGAUUGGAGCGGCCGAUGGCAGAUUAGGCAGUUGGUGGGGUAAAGGCUCACCAAGCCUGCGAUCUGUAGCUGGUCUGAGAGGACGACCAGCCACACUGGGACUGAGACACGGCCCAGACUCCUACGGGAGGCAGCAGUGGGGAAUUUUGGGCAAUGGGCGCAAGCCUGAUCCAGCCGUUCCGCGUGCAGGAUGAAGGCCCUCGGGUUGUAAACUGCUUUUGUACGGAACGAAAAGCGCCUGGUUAAUACCUGGGCGUCAUGACGGUACCGUAAGAAUAAGCACCGGCUAACUACGUGCCAGCAGCCGCGGUAA
Molecule: ribosomal RNA, 500 nt
Filed under: uncultured bacterium
Lineage: Bacteria
Description: bacterial SSU rRNA
Rfam family: Bacterial small subunit ribosomal RNA
Source: RNAcentral